GAUGAAGAACGUAGCGAAAUGCGAUAAGUAAUGUGAAUUGCAGAAUUCAGUGAACCAUCGAAUCUUUGAACGCACAUUGCGCCCGGCAGUAAUCUGCCGGGCAUGCCUGUCCGAGCGUCAUUUCUGCCCUCGAGCGAGUCCAGCAUCUAGGUGCUGGGCCCGCCCGGCGUUGGGGCACUACGGGAAGCCCUGUGCUGUCCCCCGUAGGCCCCGAAAUGAAGUGGCGGUCCUGCCGCGGCGCCCCCUGCGUAGUAUAACAGCUCGCUUCGGGACCCGGUGGAGGCCUGCCGUCAAACCUUACUCUCUAAGUUUGACCUCGGAUCAGGUAGGGUUACCCGCUGAACUUAAGCAUAUCAAUAAGCGAAGGA
This 368-nucleotide unclassified non-coding RNA is filed under the name soil metagenome. RNAcentral's name for it is "partial contains 5.8S ribosomal RNA, internal transcribed spacer 2, and large subunit ribosomal RNA". The stretch from base 1 to 120 matches the Rfam family "5.8S ribosomal RNA", at positions 35 to 154 of the family's 154-position model. The record is from RNAcentral.